UGCCAGCCGCCGCGGUAAGACGGAGGGUGCUAGCGUUGUUCGGAAUGACUGGGCGUAAAGGGCGCGUAGGCGGUUUUGUUAGUCAGGCGUGAAAGCCCCGGGCUUAACCUGGGAACUGCGUUUGAUACUGCAAGACUUGAGAACGGAAGAGGAAAGUGGAAUUCCUAGUGUAGAGGUGAAAUUCGUAGAUAUUAGGAGGAACACCAGAGGCGAAGGCGGCUUUCUGGUCCGUUACUGACGCUGAUGCACGAAAGCGUGGGUAGCAAACAGGAUUAGAUA
RNAcentral lists this ribosomal RNA (279 nucleotides) under uncultured bacterium. RNAcentral describes it as "partial 16S ribosomal RNA". It matches the Rfam family "Bacterial small subunit ribosomal RNA", at positions 506 to 784 of the family's 1533-position model. The record is from RNAcentral.